AAGUCGUAACAAGGUUUCCGUAGGUGAACCUGCGGAAGGAUCAUUAUUGAAUAAACCUGGCUUGGUUGUUGCUGGUCUUUUCGGAGACAUGUGCACGCCUUGUCAUCUUUAUAUUUCCACCUGUGCACCCUUUGUAGACUUGAGGACAGAUUUCCGAGGCAACUCGGUCGUGAGGAAUUGCUUUAACCGGCUUUCCUUGAAUGUCUUCAAGCCUAUGUUUCAUAUACACCAUAAGAAUGUAACAGAAUGUCAUUAUUAGACUUAUGUCUUAUAAACUAUAUACAA
This 285-nucleotide unclassified non-coding RNA is filed under the name plant metagenome. RNAcentral's name for it is "partial contains small subunit ribosomal RNA and internal transcribed spacer 1". The stretch from base 1 to 46 matches the Rfam family "Eukaryotic small subunit ribosomal RNA", at positions 1786 to 1831 of the family's 1831-position model. The record is from RNAcentral.